GAUCUGGAAAGAAUGUUCAAUCAUUCACCGAAGGGGAAAGGCAAAGCCGAAGCUCUCAGGUAUCAAGACAGAGGGGGA
RNAcentral lists this non-coding RNA (78 nucleotides) under marine eukaryotic metagenome. Its description in RNAcentral is "Glycine riboswitch". The stretch from base 3 to 72 matches the Rfam family "Glycine riboswitch aptamer", at positions 10 to 85 of the family's 94-position model. Rfam says of the family: This family represents the bacterial glycine riboswitch. Glycine riboswitches usually consist of two metabolite-binding aptamers domains with similar structures in tandem. The record is from RNAcentral.